This is a non-coding RNA of Rattus norvegicus (Norway rat), 2246 nucleotides long. The record is from RefSeq and is a predicted model, not a curated record. Lineage: Eukaryota; Metazoa; Chordata; Mammalia; Rodentia; Muridae.
CCCAAACAGUAGGAUUUGAAGUCCCUCAAUCUUUGUGUGGUCUCUCUGUUUGGGGUCUUCACACUGUGAGGUCAGGAUAAACGGGAUAAAAAUGCCAGUUCAGAAAUUCCAAGGCUUAUAUCCCCCAGGAAUAAGUCAGCAUCUGAAGCCUCCCUUGUGACUUAACACUGGGAAGUGAUGAGACAUCAAUUCUGAUUGUUCUGUCCAGUGAGUCACAAAACCUCAUCAAGGGAAGAGAGUGUGGAUGUCGCUCUCUUCUGGGAAAGCAGCAACUGUCAUAGAGAAAACACAGACAACAUGGGGACAGCUGUGAAAACUGCAAUCUGCCUCCAGAAGGAAGCAGAGGAUACUCAGGCAUGAAAGCAGUUGUCCUUCUGGGACAGAAGAUGGAGUUCCAAGCAGUUGCGAGCCACCAUGUGGGUACUGGGAACAGAAUCUGGGUCCUCUGUAAGAGCAGCCAUUUCUCUUAACCCGUAAGCCACCUCACAAUCAUGGUAUCUGGAAGUUCCUCUACACGUCUUCCUUCCGUUUGUCUGCUUCGAAUCACGCACACAAGUGAAGAGGCUCACGGACCAGUAGGAUGACUGCACCCUGAGGCUUCUGCACUGCAGAGAUCUCCAGAGACUGGCCAGCCCUUCCUCUGUGGUAAACGCUGUCCUUCAGGGCUGUGUAGUUGGUGCUGCAGCGAGUUCAGCCCACCCAGCUUCUCAGAACAUGUGUCUGUGUGUCUGUCUUAUUCUCUCAUCACCCUGGUCAGGUUUUCAGGACAAAGCCACACAGGACACAGCAGCCUACACGAUUCCGGAGAUCUAGGUUCAGCGAGAGAUUCUGUCUCCGGUGAAAACUUGGUUAGUGACGUUGUCUUCCGGUCUCCACGUGUGCAGACACAUGUGUGUGCACCUGCACACCUCACCCUGACACAGCUACCCCUAAAUUCCAGCCUCAUAGGGACCAUCUUGGCGGUGUGCCUGCUAUGUCCAGGGACCUGACAGUGCCCGAGAUCCACCCAAUACAAGCAGGGACAACACGUUAGAGACACAAGCAAAGCGACAACAAAGAGAGCUGCUGGCGCUUCCUUUAGGGAGUGUGUGGCCUUGUGUGGAGACAAACUUAAGUGCAUGUCACCUCACAGAGAGACCACAGUGGAGUGACCCCCAGGCAGGCAGUGAAUGCCAUCUGUCUUUCUCUUUCUCCUUUCCUGGGCCUCAGCCUUUGUAUCUGAAAGUGCUUCCCCCGGAGGCACCCAUUUAAGAACACAUCUCAAAGAAUUAUCGAGAAAAAGCAAACCCUACUCUCCCCUUUUAGACAGAAUCCAGGGAGAGAUGCAGCUGGGUUCAAAGCUGUGUUACAAAGCAGCAUGACCUGGGGCUGUGCAAUAUUGGUUAAGUGAAUGACCUCUCUGGUCUCCGUGCACUUAUGUGUAAAACAGGAAAGCCAGUCUUAGAGACUGGGUUUCAGAGACAUUCACUGUCUCCAGUGCCUUUUUUGGUGAUCAAACUCUCUUUAUUGGUGUGUGUUUAUGUAUGUGGGGGUGGGCGCAUGUUCCUGUGGGUGUGUGCAUGUGUGAGGGUCCAUGUUCAGGUUAGAUGCCAUGGGCGUCUUCCUCAGUUGCUUACCUUCUGUUUUGAGACAAGGCCUUUUGAUAACUUCACCUACUCUGCUGGGCUUCCUGGUCAGAGAGUUCCAUUCUUGGUCUAGAUUUACAGCCUGGCACUGCUGAGUGUGGCUUGUGUAUGGGUUCUGAUGGUCAGAACUCCGGUCCCAUGCUUAUGAAGCAGGCACAGUACUGACCAGACCCUCCUCAGUCCGUGCUUCCUUGUUUGUUCUGAGGCCAUUCCUACUUUGUCGUCUAGCUGUUACUGAACUCCUGAGCGCUCUGGCUCAUAGUGCCUUUAGUUUUGAGACAGAGUCUCACUCUAGUCCAAUAUGGUCUAGAACUCUGUAUGUAGCCCAUGGAAGUCUCAAACUCCUGGCAAUCCUCCUGCAUCAGCCUAUCGUGCUGAGAUUACAAGUGUGAGUCACCAUACCCAGUUUCAAAGUGAUUUUUAAUCACCAAAACAUUAUUUUCCAAAAUAAGUCUGGAAUUUUUCAUGUAAGUUACAUAUGCACACAUAACACACAUGUAUGUUUUCCUGUGUGGGCAUAGAAGUCUAUCUCUCUACCACUGAGCUACAUCCUUCUCCCUGGAAUUUUUCCCUAAGACUUUCCUAAUAACACUGAAGAAACGCCUCAGAAGUUAAGACAAC